Ceratotherium simum simum (southern white rhinoceros) is the source of this 78-nucleotide non-coding RNA. The record is from RefSeq and is a predicted model, not a curated record. Lineage: Eukaryota; Metazoa; Chordata; Mammalia; Perissodactyla; Rhinocerotidae.
GUGUCUGCCUCUAAACCAGUAAUUCUAAAACUUUAGCAUGCAUUGGAAUCACCUGCAGGGCUUAUUAAACCACAGGUU